UAGGGAAUCUUGCACAAUGGGCGAAAGCCUGAUGCAGCAAUGCCGCGUGAGUGAAGAAGGUUUUCGGAUUGUAAAACUCUGUUAUAUGGGAAGAAUGGUUAGAGGAGGAAAUGCCUUUGAUUUGACGGUACCAUAUCAGCAAGGGACGGCUAACUACGUGCCAGCAGCCGCGGUAAUACGUAGGUCCCGAGCGUUAUCCGGAAUUAUUGGGCGUAAAGGGUGCGCAGGUGGUUAUGUAAGUCUGGUGUGAAAUUUUUGGGCUCAACCCAAAAAGGUCAUUGGAAACUGCAUAACUUGAGAGCAGGAGAGGUAAGUGGAAUUCCUAGUGUAGCGGUGAAAUGCGUAGAGAUUAGGAGGAACACCAGUGGCGAAGGCGGCUUACUGGACUGCAUCUGACACUGAGGCACGAAAGCGUGGGUAGCAAACAGGAUUAGAUACCCCGGUAGUCC
This 449-nucleotide ribosomal RNA is filed under the name uncultured bacterium. Its description in RNAcentral is "bacterial SSU rRNA". It matches the Rfam family "Bacterial small subunit ribosomal RNA", at positions 355 to 796 of the family's 1533-position model. The record is from RNAcentral.